UGUACCAAACUGGUGAUUGAAUCGGAUAGCACAAUGGCGCUGGAGGCAGUCUCGGAUCCUAAUGCAUAUAUGGGACCUGCAGUUCCUAUUAUAGCUGAGUGCUCUCUAACGACAAUGCAAUUUGCUCAUAUCUCCUUUGUUCAUUGUAGUAGAGAGGCGAACUCAGUAGCGGAUGCCUUAGCAAAACAUUGUAUCAGAGUUAAAAAGUCUGAAGUAUGGGAAAACAUCCCUGACUUUAUUCUUCAUCUCCUUGUAAACGAUUUGGCUAUCAUUUGAUGAAUAAAGUUAUGGAGUUUCAAAA
RNAcentral lists this ribosomal RNA (301 nucleotides) under Triticum aestivum (bread wheat). Its description in RNAcentral is "partial small subunit ribosomal RNA". Lineage: Eukaryota; Viridiplantae; Streptophyta; Magnoliopsida; Poales; Poaceae. The record is from RNAcentral.